Molecule: long non-coding RNA, 221 nt
Filed under: Lathyrus oleraceus (garden pea)
Lineage: Eukaryota; Viridiplantae; Streptophyta; Magnoliopsida; Fabales; Fabaceae
Description: Pisum sativum (pea) long non-coding RNA (PSAT_LNC007667)
Source: RNAcentral
AAAGGCCUACCCAGAAUGUAGUUAUAAAGGCUCCUCCAUGGGAUGACCAAAAAUUGGGUGUUGAUCGAUCAAAGGUCUCUUUCCUCUCAUACGAAUACCAUAAGCUCCACAUAUCGCCAGGGACGGGUGGAUGUCCCGUUAAAUGCUUGUAGAUAUGAGUCAUCAUAUGGUAUUAGGCAUCCUGUAUCUAGGCCCAUAUUUUUAAAAAGUGACGAAUAAAG